Molecule: small nucleolar RNA, 180 nt
Organism: Coregonus clupeaformis (lake whitefish)
Lineage: Eukaryota; Metazoa; Chordata; Actinopteri; Salmoniformes; Salmonidae
Product: small nucleolar RNA SNORA53
Exons: 1
Source: RefSeq, a predicted model, not a curated record
AACACACUCCUUAGGUCUCUCUCUGAGUGCUGAUUGCAGCUCCAGCCCAAAUGCCCCUAGCAGCUGGAGGUGCUUGAGUCAUUGGCGUGUGCGAACAAUCUACCUGCUCCCCAGCCCAUUUCCUGCACUGGCAGCCUCACUGGAACACUACCAGUGCAGACAGGCUGGGGAGCGGACAUG